RNAcentral lists this ribosomal RNA (378 nucleotides) under uncultured Pseudomonas sp. RNAcentral's name for it is "bacterial SSU rRNA". It matches the Rfam family "Bacterial small subunit ribosomal RNA", at positions 135 to 508 of the family's 1533-position model. Lineage: Bacteria; Pseudomonadati; Pseudomonadota; Gammaproteobacteria; Pseudomonadales; Pseudomonadaceae. The record is from RNAcentral.
AGUGGGGGACAACGUUUCAAAAGGAACGCUAAUACCGCAUACGUCCUACGGGAGAAAGCAGGGGACCUUCGGGCCUUGCGCUAAUAGAUGAGCCUAGGUCGGAUUAGCUAGUUGGUGAGGUAAAGGCUCACCAAGGCAACGAUCCGUAACUGGUCUGAGAGGAUGAUCAAUCACACUGGAACUGAGACACGGUCCAGACUCCUACGGGAGGCAGCAGUGGGGAAUAUUGGACAAUGGGCGAAAGCCUGAUCCAGCCAUGCCGCGUGUGUGAAGAAGGUCUUCAGAUUGUAAAGCACUUUAAGUUGGGAGGAAGGGCAGUAAGUUAAUACCUUGCUGUUUUGACGUUACCGACAGAAUAAGCACCGGCUAACUUCGUGC